This 496-nucleotide ribosomal RNA is filed under the name uncultured bacterium. RNAcentral describes it as "partial 16S ribosomal RNA". It matches the Rfam family "Bacterial small subunit ribosomal RNA", at positions 28 to 523 of the family's 1533-position model. The record is from RNAcentral.
GAUGAACGCUGGCGGCGUGCCUAACACAUGCAAGUCGAGCGGUAUAUACUUAAACAAAUCUUCGGAAGAGUGAGAGUAUAGAGAGCGGCGGACGGGUGAGUAACGCGUAGGCAACCUGCCCCAUACAGAGGGAUAGCCUCGGGAAACCGGGAUUAAAACCUCAUAACGCGAGAGAGUCACAUGGCUUUUUCGCCAAAGAUUUAUCGGUAUGGGAUGGGCCUGCGUCUGAUUAGCUAGUUGGUGGGGUAACGGCCUACCAAGGCAACGAUCAGUAGCCGACCUGAGAGGGUAAUCGGCCACAUUGGAACUGAGACACGGUCCAAACUCCUACGGGAGGCAGCAGUGGGGAAUAUUGCACAAUGGGCGAAAGCCUGAUGCAGCAACGCCGCGUGAGCGAUGAAGGCCUUUGGGUCGUAAAGCUCUGUCCUUGGGGAAGAAUAAAUGACGGUACCCUUGGAGGAAGCCCCGGCUAACUACGUGCCAGCCGCCGCGGUAA